Molecule: long non-coding RNA, 380 nt
Organism: Cervus elaphus (red deer)
Lineage: Eukaryota; Metazoa; Chordata; Mammalia; Artiodactyla; Cervidae
Exons: 3
Source: RefSeq, a predicted model, not a curated record
CAUGACUCAGCAAUUGAACAACAGCAGCAACAAUCCAGAGAGACAGGAGAAUAUCUAAGAGAAUGGCAUGAUUUGAAAGCUAGAGGAAAGCAAUCAACUGAGAAAUUGAAGGAGACAAGGUCAUUUGAUAAAUAUGAAAGAAGAGAAAAGGUGAUGAGAUAAGGAGCAUGAGAAGAAUGGAAACAGGUGCUCUCAGAAAUGAAAGUUCAAGCUGACUAAGAAAAUAUGGAAGGACUGCCAGAUAAUACUGAGGAACUAAUUUAUAAUAAUCAGCAAUUCUAUGAGAUAGAAACAAUUACUAUUCUCAGUUCAUAAAUGAAGAAACUAAGGCACAGAGAUCACUGCAGAUGGUGACUGCAGCCAUGAAAUUAAAAGACUCC